RNAcentral lists this transfer RNA (72 nucleotides) under Stegodyphus mimosarum. It matches the Rfam family "tRNA". Rfam says of the family: Transfer RNA (tRNA) molecules are approximately 80 nucleotides in length. Their secondary structure includes four short double-helical elements and three loops (D, anti-codon, and T loops). The record is from Rfam by way of RNAcentral. Lineage: Eukaryota; Metazoa; Arthropoda; Arachnida; Araneae; Eresidae.
GCCUUUGUUGUGCCACGGUAGCACACUCGGCUCGUAUUCGAGAGGUCUCAGGUUUGAGUCCCGGUGAGGGCA